RNAcentral lists this ribosomal RNA (449 nucleotides) under uncultured bacterium. RNAcentral describes it as "bacterial SSU rRNA". It matches the Rfam family "Bacterial small subunit ribosomal RNA", at positions 28 to 504 of the family's 1533-position model. The record is from RNAcentral.
GAUGAACGCUGGCGGCGUGCCUAACACAUGCAAGUCGAGCGAUUCUCUUCGGAGAAAAGCGGCGGACGGGUGAGUAACGCGUGGGUAACCUGCCCUGUACACACGGAUAACAUACCGAAAGGUAUGCUAAUACGAGAUAAUAUGCUUUUAUCGCAUGGUAGAAGUAUCAAAGCUCCGGCGGUACAGGAUGGACCCGCGUCUGAUUAGCUAGUUGGUGAGGUAACGGCUCACCAAGGCGACGAUCAGUAGCCGACCUGAGAGGGUGAUCGGCCACAUUGGAACUGAGACACGGUCCAAACUCCUACGGGAGGCAGCAGUGGGGAAUAUUGCACAAUGGGCGAAAGCCUGAUGCAGCAACGCCGCGUGAGCGAUGAAGGCCUUCGGGUCGUAAAGCUCUGUCCUCAAGGAAGAUAAUGACGGUACUUGAGGAGGAAGCCCCGGCUAACUAC